CCUACGGGUGGCAGCAGUGGGGAAUAUUGCACAAUGGGGGGAACCGUGAUGCAGCAACGCCGCGUGGGUGAAGAAGUACUUCGGAAUGUAAAGCCCUGUCAGCAGGGAAGAAAAUGACGGUACCUGACCAAGAAGCCCCGGCUAACAACGUGCCAGCAGCCGCGGUAAUACGUAGGGGGCAAGCGUUAUCCGGAUUUACUGGGUGGAAAGGGAGCGUGGACGGGAAGGCAAGUCUGGAGGGAAAGCCCGUGGUCCAACCCCGGGACUGCUUUUGAAACUGUGUUGCUGGAGUGCAGGAGGGGUAGGCGGAAUUCCUAGUGUAGCGGUGAAAUGCGUAGAUAUUAGGAGGAACACCGGUGGCGAAGGCGGCUUACUGGACUGUAACUGACGUUGAGGCUUGAAAGCGUGGGGAGCAAACAGGAUUAGAUACCCCAGUAGUC
This 440-nucleotide ribosomal RNA is filed under the name uncultured bacterium. RNAcentral's name for it is "partial 16S ribosomal RNA". It matches the Rfam family "Bacterial small subunit ribosomal RNA", at positions 338 to 795 of the family's 1533-position model. The record is from RNAcentral.